UACGGGGGGGGCAAGCGUUGUUCGGAAUUACUGGGCGUAAAGGGCUCGUAGGCGGCCAACUAAGUCAGACGUGAAAUCCCUCGGCUUAACCGGGGAACGGCCUCUGAUACUGGAUGGCUUGAGUUCGGGAGAGGGAUGCGGAAUUCCAGGUGUAGCGGUGAAAUGCGUAGAUAUCCGGAGGAACACCGGUGGCGAAGGCGGCUUCCUGGACCGACACUGACGCUGAGGCGCGAAAGCUAGGGGAGCAAACGGG
Molecule: ribosomal RNA, 253 nt
Filed under: uncultured bacterium
Lineage: Bacteria
Description: partial 16S ribosomal RNA
Rfam family: Bacterial small subunit ribosomal RNA
Source: RNAcentral